GAAAAGAAGGUCGUCCACCCUUCAACGAUCGACGUAAUUUCUGGACGUGGUGUGGCCUCGAAUGAAUCUUUCACCUUGAUUGGACUCAGUCUACCAACUUUCACCGUGGGAGCCCAGUUGCUUGCUGGCAAGUUAUGGAAAUGACUUAAAGCAACGCGAGAAGAGGAAUUGGAUCGGUUUGAAACAACGUGAGUGUCUACGCCAUUGAUCCAAUGGAAUUAGGAGGAGUCUGCUCUACCCACGUUUUAAUGGCGGAGGAAGGAGGGGACUUACUACAUCACCAAGUAAAUCGACGACGCUGUUCGGCUGUAGUUUCUGCUUUCCUGUAAGCGUCGGUUUCGAGCCGUGUCCAUGGCAACGCAGUCGAGUGAUUCUGUACGUCGCAAUUCCGCCUAUGGUGUAGGCAACCGGAAGCGCCAUUCUUGCGGACAACAAUCAACGGGAUGGUCAACAACAUCAUUUUUAGUUGUUCUGCCUGUCACAAAACGGGCACGGAAUUUCUAAUUGGCAGUCGUCUUUCACUCGUGACGAUAUUUAUUCGCAGACAUACAUGACAUUUUGAUUGAAAGCGCCAAUCCAACGUGACGUAUAUAACGCGACCGAGAGAAUUGCCACCUAGUUGACUGGCUUCCGUUUGUUCUUGAAUGGGUUCAACCGCGGUCCACCAUCCAAACCUUCACGUGGGCUGGCGGCCACUUGAUGUCGGCUGCGGAACUAUGUGCGGUGACGUGACUUCAACGACUUCUGGUGUUGUCCAGUCUCCCAAUUUCCCUGGCGAAUUGUGAAAGGAACUGCGUAGUCGUCAUUACCACGCCAGCAGGACGGAUGAUCCAAUUAAAAUUCACCGACUUCAAAUGUGGAGACUGAUGCGGCCUAUGUUCAGGCUAACGAUGGUGUUGUGUAUCUAUCGCCUCCAACAGGCGGAAACACCAUUCCUGUCCUAAUCCCCGUAACAACCAACGCGAUGGGCAUCAUCUUUUAAUAUUCUGCCAGUAGUAAACACAAUACCUCGACAUUCUAUUGACGGUCGACUUUUUCUGUGACGGUAAAUUUCAUUUGCGUCAGCAAUUCCUGAAUUGCGCCAAUUCCGGCGUGGGCGGCAGUGGCGGCGGAUGCGGCGGAGGGGUGGCCAUCGCCGACAAGACUUCCAUCUCGUCGAAACCUUCCGUCUCGUCCGAUGACACGGGCAUCGAAGUCUCUGACCACCAAACGGAUUCCAGGGACAGCGCCGACUUGCAGAUGAUCCUGCCUCCGCCCGGAUUCGGUCCCAUCAGUCUUCACACUGUACAACAAAUGCAACAAAGAAGAUUUCUCUCGUUCUGAAAGUGGCAGAUAAGUGAGAUAACAUUAUACAAUGACAGGUUUUUCCAAAUCCUAAUUCUUAAACCGGUUUUUCCCCUCGGGUUUAUCUCGGUUAAUAUUUUCUCUUAAUCGAUAUUUUAGUUUAACCAAAUCAAACACCCGCAAAUAAUUUGCCGUUUCCAGUGAUCGGAUUAAUUAUACUAUUAUCUAAUAUUACUAUGAUCUAAAACGUAGUAUUAUUUCCUAUUUCAUAUGAAUUAUGUUCAAGGUCACAACUCACAAGGAACAUUACGUUAAAGUGUAGAGGUUGGGUGAGAAAGAAAGUUUUACAUCAUUAUCAAGUAGGUAGAAUUAAAUUGGUUCAAGGUUACUACAGGAAACAUUACAUAAAAGUGUAGAGGUUGGGUAAGAAAGAAACGUGUGGCAUCAUUUUCAAGUAGGUAGAAUUGCCGCAAGACUUGAGAGUUGAGUAAGGGUGAGAAAAAGUCGUAUAAAAAGAUGAAAGACCAUCAGUCAUCAGAGCAUCUCCGACACGGUAACAACUGCAGCGCGACUUUUUCUCAUUGCAUUCUUCGUAGUAUGUUCUCAACAUGGGUGAAUAUUCGUUUAUUUAGCAUGGAGCAUUGAAUCAAUUGUACAUUUUUCUAUUUAUUGAUUUGCCACUCAUAGUUGAAUAUUGACGUUUAAAUUUUUGAUUCAUGUCUAGUUAACUAUGGCGUCGUCCUGCUGUUGGUUGUUGUAUCGUUGAUGGCUGAACCGACCACUGGUGUACCGAUUUCUCCUGAGGAUGGUGGAUGCGAAAUCGCAACGCCGUCGCCUUACCAUGACAACAAAGGCAACAACCAGUUACUACACCAAAGCAUUGGAGGACUAAACCAAAACCUGUGCUGCUCCAGCUUCCUGUCUUGAGACUACCUAACGUUACUCCGCUCCCAGCUACUACACCGAGGCUCCAGCUUGCUUCACCACCGAGGGAUCGGAUUAUUACACCUACCCACGCUGCUCCAGUCUCAUACACAGAGGAUCCCAAGCACUACACAACCAGGGCACCGGAGUACUACACGACUACGUAAGUACGUAUGCUACCCAAGCUGACUACACCAAGGCUCCCAAGUGAUCUCUGCUACCAGCUACUACACCGAGGCACCAACAUUCUACUCUGCCCCCAGCUACACACUCGCAACAGAGUCGGCCAACUAUUGAGCAGCACCUAUAAACCACUACUUACGCUUCUCCGAUCUACUACACCGAAGUAUUACUCUGCCCCGAAUUACUACAUCAGUAAGGCACUUGAAAGUUAUACCACAACCUACAAUGUGAAAUCUAAAAUCUUUGUUUUAUGUUGAUGUGGUCAAAUUUCGAGUAAUCAUCUUGUGCGACUUUUCAACAACCCCAACCAUUUAAACAUUGCGACGUUUUCUGAAUGUGCUUUUAAAUGUUGCCUAUUUUACUCUACUUAAGAACCUCUUUUAUGAUAGGAAAAAUUUCAUUUUCUGGGUAAUUUAUGUAAAAGCUAUCAACUUGUU
Long non-coding RNA from Daphnia pulicaria, 2828 nucleotides. RefSeq lists it as uncharacterized. The record is from RefSeq and is a predicted model, not a curated record. NCBI's taxonomy places the organism in Eukaryota, Metazoa, Arthropoda, Branchiopoda, Diplostraca, Daphniidae. The transcript has 6 exons.